This 433-nucleotide ribosomal RNA is filed under the name uncultured bacterium. Its description in RNAcentral is "partial 16S ribosomal RNA". It matches the Rfam family "Bacterial small subunit ribosomal RNA", at positions 29 to 507 of the family's 1533-position model. The record is from RNAcentral.
AACGAACGCUGGCGGCAUGCCUAACACAUGCAAGUCGAACGAGACCUUCGGGUCUAGUGGCGCACGGGUGCGUAACGCGUGGGAACCUGCCCUUAGGUUCGGAAUAACUCCCCGAAAGGGGUGCUAAUACCGGAUAAUGUCUUCGGACCAAAGAUUUAUCGCCUUUGGAUGGGCCCGCGUUGGAUUAGCUAGUUGGUAGGGUAAAAGCCUACCAAGGCGACGAUCCAUAGCUGGUCUGUGAGGAUGAUCAGCCACACUGGGACUGAGACACGGCCCAGACUCCUACGGGAGGCAGCAGUGGGGAAUAUUGGACAAUGGGCGAAAGCCUGAUCCAGCAAUGCCGCGUGAGUGAUGAAGGCCUUAGGGUUGUAAAGCUCUUUUACCCGGGAUGAUAAUGACAGUACCGGGAGAAUAAGCUCCGGCUAACUCCGUG